UCAGAGGGGGUAAGGAAGGGAGUUUCUAUCCGAUCAAAGGCACUUGUGGGAUAACCAGAGUUUGUUUCUGGCUGAGUUUGCAGGGAGAGAGAGGACCUAAGAACCUUAAACCUGAGAUAAGGGUGAAGUGAAAAGGGGCCAGGUAGGCAGAGGUCCAUGGAAGAAGUAGCAAUGAACUGAAAUCAAGUAGUGCAUAGCUGCAAUCUAUAGUGUCCCCAGGUUGGAACCCACAGAUAAAGUGGCAUAAACUCCAAGAAUUGGAAAAGGCUCAUCUGAAAGCCCAAACAAACGGCUGAAUUUAAAGCCUCCAAAGCAGGGGGUGAAGACUUGAGUUAGGACAAUGGUGCUGUUCAUUUAUUGGACUCUUUAAUACCUUGGAAGAGGUUCAUCUGGACUACGUGACUCAGCUGGAGGGCCAAGCCACUGAAGACCCACCAAGGUUGGCUGGCAGCUUGCAGUGCGAUUUGGGGGAGAAAAGAUUCCAGUACCACACCCAGCUGCUAGGAGGUGCUCAAGAGACAAACCAUGUGAAAGUUCUCCAAAAGAGCUUGGAUUUAUCUCCUCAAGAGUGACUCUGAAGUUUUAUGUGAAGAAUUGGAGCGGGGAAGAUUUUCAAAACAGUGGCACAGAAGGUUGAGUUUGUGACCCCAUCUAAACAACCAACAUUGAGCUUUGGUUUUUGAGAUGGGCAUCACCGUUGCAUUCUGGAAUAUCUUGAGUGAGCUAGGAAGAACCAAGGAAGGAUUUUAAUGAAGAAGGAAAUUUUUCAGAAGUUUAAUUAAAACAUAAUUCUACAAUGAAUAACUCCUCACAGACUAUUUUGAAUAGGCAUUUUGAGUUUAACUUGAUGUUCAUUUUUGCUUUACAAUUAACCUUUAAGGCUAGAAUUUUACAAUACUUAUCCAAGUAUAACAGGAGAAGGUUAAACUAACAUAUCCGAUCCUACUUGUUGAAAAUUAAAACAAUAUAAAACUGCACUAUACAGGCUGUACUGUAAUACCUAGUCAAAUUUCUUUGUGUUAAUCAUCUGUUUUCUUUAAACAUUUCUUGUGCUUAUAUCAGUAAAAUCUCCUGCAAUGGUACAUCUUGUUUGUUUUCUAUUUCCAGUUU
Mauremys mutica (yellowpond turtle) is the source of this 1110-nucleotide long non-coding RNA. RefSeq lists it as uncharacterized. The record is from RefSeq and is a predicted model, not a curated record. The transcript is spliced from 3 exons. Lineage: Eukaryota; Metazoa; Chordata; Testudines; Geoemydidae.